GACGAACGCUGGCGGCGUGCUUAACACAUGCAAGUCGAACGGAAAGGCCCUGCUUUUGUGGGGUGCUCGAGUGGCGAACGGGUGAGUAACACGUGAGUAACCUGCCCUUGACUUUGUGAUAACUUCAGGAAACUGGGGCUAAUACCGGAUAGGAUCUCCUGCUGCGUGGUGGGGGUUGGAAAGUUUCGGCGGUUGGGGAUGGACUAGCGGCUUAUCAGCUUGUUGGUGGGGUAGUGGCUUACCAAGGGUUUGACGGGUAGCCGGCCUGAGAGGGUGACCGGCCACAUUGGGACUGAGAUACGGACCAGAAUCCUACGGGAGGCAGCAGUGGGGAAUAUUGCACAAUGGGCGGAAGCCUGAUGCAGCAACGCCGCGUGCGGGAUGACGGCCUUCGGGUUGUAAACCGCUUUCGCCUGUGACGAAGCGUGAGUGACGGUAAUGGGUAAAGAAGCACCGGCUAACUACGUG
RNAcentral lists this ribosomal RNA (468 nucleotides) under uncultured bacterium. RNAcentral's name for it is "partial 16S ribosomal RNA". It matches the Rfam family "Bacterial small subunit ribosomal RNA", at positions 28 to 507 of the family's 1533-position model. The record is from RNAcentral.